This 497-nucleotide ribosomal RNA is filed under the name uncultured bacterium. RNAcentral's name for it is "partial 16S ribosomal RNA". It matches the Rfam family "Bacterial small subunit ribosomal RNA", at positions 28 to 507 of the family's 1533-position model. The record is from RNAcentral.
GAUGAACGCUGGCGGCGUGCCUAAUACAUGCAAGUCGAGCGAACGGACGAGAAGCUUGCUUCUCUGAUGUUAGCGGCGGACGGGUGAGUAACACGUGGAUAACCUACCUAUAAGACUGGGAUAACUUCGGGAAACCGGAGCUAAUACCGGAUAAUAUUUUGAACCGCAUGGUUCAAAAGUGAAAGACGGUCUUGCUGUCACUUAUAGAUGGAUCCGCGCUGCAUUAGCUAGUUGGUAAGGUAACGGCUUACCAAGGCAACGAUGCAUAGCCGACCUGAGAGGGUGAUCGGACACACUGGAACUGAGACACGGUCCAGACUCCUACGGGAGGCAGCAGUAGGGAAUCUUCCGCAAUGUGCGAAAGCCUGACGGAGCAACGCCGCGUGAGUGAUGAAGGUCUUCGGAUCGUAAAACUCUGUUAUUAGGGAAGAACAUAUGUGUAAGUAACUGUGCACAUCUUGACGGUACCUAAUCAGAAAGCCACGGCUAACUACGUG